RNAcentral lists this ribosomal RNA (1276 nucleotides) under metagenome. Its description in RNAcentral is "bacterial LSU rRNA". It matches the Rfam family "Bacterial large subunit ribosomal RNA", at positions 1673 to 2925 of the family's 2925-position model. The record is from RNAcentral.
CCUGUAUCCUAAGGCGUUUGAGACAACUCUGGUGAAGGAACUCGGCAAAUUAGUACCGUAACUUCGGGAUAAGGUACGCCCUAUGUACGUGAUGACCCUCGCGGUCAAAGCGGAAUAGGGUCGCAGUGAAGAGGGGGUUGCGACUGUUUAUCAAAAACACAGCACUCUGCAAACACGAAAGUGGAAGUAUAGGGUGUGACUCCUGCCCGGUGCUGGAAGGUUAAUUGAUGGGGUUAGCCGUAAGGCGAAGCUCUUGAUCGAAGCCCUAGUAAACGGCGGCCGUAACAAUAACGGUCCUAAGGUAGCGAAAUUCCUUGUCGGGUAAGUUCCGACCUGCACGAAUGGAGUAACGAUAGCCCCACUGUCUCCAUCAGAGGCUCAGUGAAAUUGAAAUCGCUGUGACGAUGCAGUGUUCCCGCGGCAAGACGGAAAGACCCCGUGAACCUUUACUAUAACUUUACACUGGAUUUUGAGUUUGUUUGUGUAGGAUAGGUGGGAGGCUUUGAAGCCAGGACGCUAGUUCUGGUGGAGCCAACCUUGAAAUACCACCCUGAUAAACUCGGAAUUCUAACCUCGUCCCGUAAUCCGGGACAGGGACAUUGUAUGGUGGGUAGUUUGACUGGGGCGGUCUCCUCCCAAAGAGUAACGGAGGAGUGCGAAGGUAACCUCAGCGCGGUCGGAAAUCGCGCUUCUGAGUGCAUAGGCAUAAGGUUGCUUGACUGCGAGACAAACAAGUCGAGCAGGUACGAAAGUAGGUCUAAGUGAUCCGGUGGUUCUGUAUGGAAGGGCCAUCGCUCAACGGAUAAAAGGUACUCCGGGGAUAACAGGCUGAUACUGCCCAAGAGUCCAUAUCGACGGCAGUGUAUGGCACCUCGAUGUCGGCUCAUCACAUCCUGGGGCUGUAGCAGGUCCCAAGGGUCUGGCUGUUCGCCAGUUAAAGUGGUACGCGAGCUGGGUUCAGAACGUCGUGAGACAGUUCGGUCCCUAUCUGCCGUGGGCGUUCGAGAUUUGAGAGGAGUUGACCUUAGUACGAGAGGACCGGGUUGAACGUAUCUCUGGUGUUCCGGUUGUCACGCCAGUGGCAUCGCCGGGUAGCUAAAUACGGACGGGAUAACCGCUGAAAGCAUCUAAGCGGGAAGCCCACCUCAAGAUGAGAUCUCGCGGAGCUUCGAGCUCCCUUAAGAGCCCAGGUAGACUACCUGGUUGAUAGGCACCAUGUGGAAGUGCAGUAAUGCACGUAGCUAAGGUGUACUAAUUGCUCGUGAGGCUUGACCAA